GCUUAUUUAUUUCUCUUCAUUUCUAUCACAAUAAGAUGGACUUUACCGAGGAUGAGAAUGGAUCAGUUAUUAAAUCUUGGAUGGAAAUUUCUUUUACCUAUUUCCCUGGGCAAUCUCUUAUUAACAACCUCUUCUCAACUUGUUUCACUAUAA
RNAcentral lists this ribosomal RNA (153 nucleotides) under Triticum aestivum (bread wheat). Its description in RNAcentral is "partial small subunit ribosomal RNA". The record is from RNAcentral. Lineage: Eukaryota; Viridiplantae; Streptophyta; Magnoliopsida; Poales; Poaceae.